AAGAAAUCUUGAACCAUUUAGUCCUGUGUUAUAUCUUAUGCACUGAUAGGUCCCGGUUGAGUUUAAAAGACAUAAGUGUCCAUGAUGUUGGCGCGUGUGGUGUAUAAUUGGUGGGUAAUCUAGGAUUGAACACUGUUGAAAUUACAUUUAUAUCCAAAAACUUACUAUUGCGUGUUUUUGGUUUCCCUUCUUUCCGAUCAUCUCGGAAGAGAUGAAUAUGGAAAAUCUGUGAUUUUCAAUGUUUAAUCCAUUGGAAUGGGGUAUGUGUAAAAGUUCCUAGCUUUGGUAAUGUUAAACCGUCUUUCAGAGUUGCCAAUUUGGGUUUUGCGUCAUUGAAACCCUAGAAAUAGGAAUCGACGUUUGGUGUAAUCGAUUUGCUUGAUAUUGGCAAGGGGUUUGCGGCAAUACUGCGGUAGUGAGUUAAAAGCGGCAUUGGAUUUCUUCCGAGAUGACAUCAGUGUUGGAUGGCAUACUGGAAAUGUAGUGAUUGUGGUAGGAUACCUCGGCGGAACGCAUCAUUGAAGUCGUCUACAAAAUUGGCAACAAGGAGACAAACCUAGUUGGCCUUCAAGAACAAAAAUAAUAGUGGAAUAAGUGUUGUUAAACGUGUUGUUGACCCGUCGAGGUUGAUGUACCUAUCCAAUUUAGCUGGAGUGAUAAGUAUAGUGUUGGAGUUGGAAUUGGAAAUGUUAAAAACUUACCUUCCACGUUGAUACCCGCACAUCAACAACAAGAAUCCCUCUGAAUCUGCCCCCUAAGGGUAAAAUGUAAACCCCAUCCAUACCAAAUGAAAGGAAAUAUUCCUUAACAAGAAAA
Long non-coding RNA from Camellia sinensis, 816 nucleotides. RefSeq lists it as uncharacterized. NCBI's taxonomy places the organism in Eukaryota, Viridiplantae, Streptophyta, Magnoliopsida, Ericales, Theaceae. The record is from RefSeq and is a predicted model, not a curated record.